CAGUCGCCGCGGUAAUACGAGGGGGGCAAGCGUUAUCCGGAAUGAUUGGGCGUAAAGCGUCUGUAGGUGGCUUUUCAAGUCCGCCGUCACAUCCCAGGGCUCAACCCUGGACAGGCGGUGGAAACUACCAAGCUGGAGUACGGUAGGGGCAGAGGGAAUUUCCGGUGGAGCGGUGAAAUGCGUCGAGAUCGGAAAGAACACCAACGGCGAAAACACUCUGCUGGGCCGACACUGACACUGAGAGACGAAAGCUAGGGAAGAAAAUGGGAUUAGAGACCCCUGUAGUCCCUGUCUCUUAUAC
This 301-nucleotide ribosomal RNA is filed under the name uncultured bacterium. RNAcentral's name for it is "partial 16S ribosomal RNA". It matches the Rfam family "Bacterial small subunit ribosomal RNA", at positions 509 to 807 of the family's 1533-position model. The record is from RNAcentral.